UACGGAGGGUGCAAGCGUUAUCCGGAUUCACUGGGUUUAAAGAGUGCGUAGGCGGGUUGGUAAGUCCGUGGUGAAAUCUCCGAGCUUAACUCGGAAACUGCCGUGGAUACUAUCAAUCUUGAAUAUCGUGGAGGUAAGCGGAAUAUGUCAUGUAGCGGUGAAAUGCUUAGAUAUGACAUAGAACACCAAUUGCGUAGGCAGCUUACUACACGAUCAUUGACGCUGAGGCACGAAAGCGUGGGGAGCAAACAGG
RNAcentral lists this ribosomal RNA (253 nucleotides) under uncultured bacterium. Its description in RNAcentral is "partial 16S ribosomal RNA". It matches the Rfam family "Bacterial small subunit ribosomal RNA", at positions 524 to 776 of the family's 1533-position model. The record is from RNAcentral.